RNAcentral lists this ribosomal RNA (407 nucleotides) under uncultured bacterium. Its description in RNAcentral is "partial 16S ribosomal RNA". It matches the Rfam family "Bacterial small subunit ribosomal RNA", at positions 30 to 526 of the family's 1533-position model. The record is from RNAcentral.
AUCGAACGCUGGCGGCAGGCCUAACACAUGCAAGUCGAGCGGAGCGGGGGACGGGUGGGGGAUGACUAGGGAUUUGCCUGGUAGUGGGGGAUAACGUCCGGAAACGGGACCUAAUACCGCAUACGAUAAAGGCAGCCUAGGUGUGCUUAGCUAGAUGGUGGGGUAAAGGCCUACCAAGGCGACGAUCCGGAACUGGUCUGAGAGGAUGAUCAGUCACACUGGGACUGAGACACGGUCCAGACUCCUACGGGAGGCAGCAGUGGGGAAUAUUGGACAAUGGGCGAAAGCCUGAUCCAGCCAUGCCGCGUGUGUGAAGAAGGUCUUCGGAUUGUAAAGCACUUUAAUUUGAGAUGCGUUACCAACAUAAUAAGCACCGGCUAACUUCGUGCCAGCCGCCGCGGUAAUUC